This 503-nucleotide ribosomal RNA is filed under the name uncultured organism. RNAcentral describes it as "bacterial SSU rRNA". It matches the Rfam family "Bacterial small subunit ribosomal RNA", at positions 29 to 507 of the family's 1533-position model. The record is from RNAcentral.
AACGAACGCUGGCGGCGUGCCUAACACAUGCAAGUCGAGCGCGAAAGUCCCCUCGGGGGCGAGUAGAGCGGCGGACGGGUGAGUAAUACGUGGAUAAUCUGCCCUUGAGCUCGGGAUAACCCCGCGAAAGUGGGGCUAAUACCGGAUAAGACCACGUGACCCAAGUCACGGGGUAAAAGGUGGCCUGUAUUCAUACAUGCUAUCACUUGAGGAUGAGUCCACGGCCUAUCAGCUUGUUGGUGAGGUAAUGGCUCACCAAGGCUAUGACGGGUAGCUGGUCUGAGAGGACGAUCAGCCACACUGGGACUGAGACACGGCCCAGACUCCUACGGGAGGCAGCAGUGGGGAAUAUUGGGCAAUGGGCGAAAGCCUGACCCAGCGACGCCGCGUGGGCGAUGAAGGCCUUCGGGUCGUAAAGCCCUGUCAUGCGGAAAGAAAAGUCCCGCGAUUAAUACUCGCGGGAUGUGACGGUACCGCAGAAGGAAGCACCGGCUAACUCCGUG